UACGGGGGGGGCAAGCGUUGUUCGGAAUUACUGGGCGUAAAGGGCUCGUAGGCGGCCAACUAAGUCAGACGUGAAAUCCCUCGGCUUAACCGGGGAACUGCGUCUGAUACUGGAUGGCUCGAGUUUGGGAGAGGGAUGCGGAAUUCCGAGGUGUAGCGGUGAAAUGCGUAGAUAUCUGGAGGAACACCGGUGGCGAAGGCGGCAUCCUGGACCAACACUGACGCUGAUGAGCGAAAGCCAGGGGAGCAAACGGG
Molecule: ribosomal RNA, 254 nt
Filed under: uncultured bacterium
Lineage: Bacteria
Description: partial 16S ribosomal RNA
Rfam family: Bacterial small subunit ribosomal RNA
Source: RNAcentral